AUUGAACGCUGGCGGCAGGCCUAACACAUGCAAGUCGAACGAGUGGCGGACGGGUGAGUAAUGUCUGGGAAACUGCCUGAUGGAGGGGGAUAACUACUGGAAACGGUAGCUAAUACCGCAUACCAUCGGAUGUGCCCAGAUGGGAUUAGCUUGUGGGUGGGGUAACGGCGCACCAACGCGACGAUCCCUAGCUGGGCUGAGAGGAUGACCAGCCACACUGGAACUGAGACACGGUCCAGACUCCUACGGGAGGCAGCAGUGGGGAAUAUUGCACAAUGGGCGCAAGCCGGAUGCAGCCAUGCCGCGUGUAUGAGGAAGGCCUUCGGGUUGUAAAGUACUUUCAGCGUGGAGGCGUUACGCGGAGAAGAAGCACCGGCUAACUCCGUGCCAGCAGCCGCGGUAAUAG
This 406-nucleotide ribosomal RNA is filed under the name uncultured bacterium. RNAcentral's name for it is "partial 16S ribosomal RNA". It matches the Rfam family "Bacterial small subunit ribosomal RNA", at positions 29 to 526 of the family's 1533-position model. The record is from RNAcentral.